This 468-nucleotide ribosomal RNA is filed under the name uncultured bacterium. RNAcentral describes it as "partial 16S ribosomal RNA". It matches the Rfam family "Bacterial small subunit ribosomal RNA", at positions 28 to 507 of the family's 1533-position model. The record is from RNAcentral.
GACGAACGCUGGCGGCGUGCUUAACACAUGCAAGUCGAACGGAAAGGCCCUGCUUUUGUGGGGUGCUCGAGUGGCGAACGGGUGAGUAACACGUGAGUAACCUGCCCUUGACUUUGGGAUAACUUCAGGAAACUGGGGCUAAUACCGGAUAGGAGCUCCUGCUGCAUGGUGGGGGUUGGAACGUUUCGGCGGUUGGGGAUGGACUCGCGGCUUAUCAGCUUGUUGGUGGGGGAGUGGCUUACCAAGGCUUUGACGGGUCGCCGGCCUGAGAGGGUGACCGGCCACAUUGGGACUGAGAUACGGCCCAGACUCCUACGGGAGGCAGCAGUGGGGAAUAUUGCACAAUGGGCGGAAGCCUGAUGCAGCAACGCCGCGUGCGGGAUGACGGCCUUCGGGUUGUAAACCGCUUUCGCCUGUGACGAAGCGUGAGUGACGGUAAUGGGUAAAGAAGCACCGGCUAACUACGUG